UCUCAGCCGGCCCAGGACACCCAGCCACUGCUCCUGCCCGGGGCUGGAUUGUGCCGCAGAGCAGCAAUGAUACGCCAGGGGCACCUGCAUGGGAUCAGCCAUGAUUUGGCCCUUGAAAUACGAAUGUCACCUUUGUCUGGCUUGUCCUGGUCCGUCCAUCCACGAAUGCAAGUCGAUGCCACACCAUUCUAUUUUGUUGUGUAUGGCUGUCAGUUGCCUCCCCAGACGACACAAUGUCAGUGUUGCUGCAGGAGUUAUGUAAGGAAAAGAACUCAAAAAUGAAACCAGUGACACUAGAUAUUGCUCUGUGCUGGUGUGCAAAGGGGCUAUUAGUUCAUGCAUACCAGCAAACCUGAACAACCUGCAAGUCGGAUGGCAGCAGUAGAUGGGAUGUAGGUGAUCUCUCUCCCACAUCCUGCCCUCAGGCAAACAGCAGGGCAGGAUCCUUCUUCCCUUGUAUUCAUGACAGCACUAGAUAAAUUGCCUGUUUACUAGCCAGCUCCAUGUACUCCAAGGAUGUGUGGUCUGCCAGCUGGUGGUGGGAUG
Mauremys reevesii (Reeves's turtle) is the source of this 546-nucleotide long non-coding RNA. RefSeq lists it as uncharacterized. The transcript has 4 exons. NCBI's taxonomy places the organism in Eukaryota, Metazoa, Chordata, Testudines, Geoemydidae. The record is from RefSeq and is a predicted model, not a curated record.